Camelina sativa (false flax) is the source of this 1397-nucleotide non-coding RNA. NCBI's taxonomy places the organism in Eukaryota, Viridiplantae, Streptophyta, Magnoliopsida, Brassicales, Brassicaceae. The record is from RefSeq and is a predicted model, not a curated record.
AAUCUGAAACUAAUUGUUGAUAAAAAAAAAACAUAAAACUAUAUCAUUUAGUCUGGGCUUUGAGAGGCUUUUGUACCACUUUGGAUUUUGAUAUGAAUUGAAAAUUGGCCAACAAAAAAAAGAAAUAAAAAUCAACAAACAAAGAAACCUUCACCAACCUGUGCCUCUAUUCCUCACACUACACUUAGAAAAAAAAAAUCAUCAUCACUCUCGAAACUCUUUCGGAGAAACUCUCACUCUCAUUUCUUCGAAUCGCGAUGACUCUGUCCGGCCAAACCUCCGACCGUAUCUCCAGAUCUAGAAGGGAAACUGGUUUCCGUGGGAGAAGACGACAUAUAAGAAGCAGAAGCUGAGAGGUGAAGCGGAGGAAGACGGCAUAGAAGACGAAAAAGCUAAGCCGUGGAUUUAUCGACGAAAUUAGAAGUUGGGAUCUCAAAACCGGGAAAGAUCUGCUUCGAUUCAAGUCGUGUGCUUCUCCGGCGCACAGCCGAAAACUUGGGUCGACUAAAGAAUCAAUUUUUCUAUCAAGCAACAAUGGGUCAAGUUCUCUUUUGCUCUCACACCUAUCCUCUCCGACGUUCUUGAAGGCUUAGUAGUUGCUUUCAUUUGUUAUCCCUUCUUUUUUUUUUUUUUUCUUGUUCCGCUGUAGGAGCAUAGAUUUUCACUUUGAUUCUGCUGAAAACGAGUUUGAUUUAUCUGCUUGAUAUCGGUAGCCAAUGCUGAUGUGAUCCACUUAGUUGCCUUUUCGCGUUUCUCAUCCCCUGUGUGAUUGCAGAUGAGGGAGGAUAAGAAGUAGAAGAAUGAUGAAGGAGAAGUGAGGGAAGGAGUAGCGCAUCAAUAGCUUUGUUGCCACGCGGGUAUAUCUCUUGUCAUUUCUUUCAAAUGUCUAGCUCCAUCUGUUUUGGUCUCCAUGGAGAUCAAGUGUCAGCUGUUUUGGUUGAGUCUUGUGGCUUAAAGAACUUAAGGCUCAACUCGGCUCUCCUCAGUGUCACCAAAGUCACCGAAGACUGGAUUUGGAGAAGCUUGAAAGCGGUUGGCUGGAAGAAGAUAGGUCGAAGAUGAUGUUUGGCUUACAGAGAAAGCCACAGCCAAGCACACUCUUAGACAGAGCUCAUGAUGUACAACUUUAUUUCAGAGCGUAAGGUAAACUUUCAUUGGUUAAGACAUUUUCUUAUCCUAUUGUAUCUUUCGCUAUUAAGGUACAAUAUAUAUACUUUGCUACUUAUUGUUGUGAGACUUUUAUUAAAUCUGUCAAAGAGUCAUUUGUUUAGAAGCCUCUGUUGUAAUUUUUGUGAGGCUUUUUGUUGAAUUUGUCAAGAGUUAUUUGGUAAUACCGAUCUCUAGACACCUGUUUUAUAUGCACUCUUUAACUUGAGUCACCAUUGUCGAUCUUCUUA